Molecule: ribosomal RNA, 512 nt
Filed under: uncultured bacterium
Lineage: Bacteria
Description: partial 16S ribosomal RNA
Rfam family: Bacterial small subunit ribosomal RNA
Source: RNAcentral
AACGAACGCUGGCGGCGUGCCUAAUACAUGCAAGUCGAGCGGAUGGUAGGAAGCUUGCUUCCUAAAGUCAGCGGAGGACGGGUGAGUAACACGUGGGCAACCUGCCCCUAAGAUCGGGAUAACUUCGGGAAACCGGAGCUAAUACCGGAUAUGAUUAUGUCUCACUUGAGACACUAUGGAAAGACGGUUUCGGCUGUCACUUAGGUAUGGGCCCGCGGCGCAUUAGCUAGUUGGUGAGGUAACGGCUCACCAAGGCGACGUUGCGUAGCCGACCUGAGAGGGUGAUCGGCCACACUGGGACUGAAACACGGCCCAGACUCCUACGGGAGGCAGCAGUAGGGAAUCUUCCGCAAUGGACGAAAGUCUGACGGAGCAACGCCGCGUGAGUGAAGAAGGUUUUCGGAUCGUAAAACUCUGUUGUUAGGGAAGAACAAGUACCAUAGUAACUGAUGGUACCUUGACGGUACCUAACCAGAAAGCCACGGCUAACUACGUGCCAGCCGCCGCAGUAA